Molecule: long non-coding RNA, 1854 nt
Organism: Sebastes umbrosus (honeycomb rockfish)
Lineage: Eukaryota; Metazoa; Chordata; Actinopteri; Perciformes; Sebastidae
Exons: 3
Source: RefSeq, a predicted model, not a curated record
AGCACUUAUACGUCCCAUAAUGUAAAAAGUGAGAUUUUCAUGUCUUUUAUAUUAUAAAGCAGGUUUAAGAGUCUGUCUAGGGCUUUUAUUGUGAAAGGUACGAACUAACGGCCGUUGUGAACGUGGGGGGUAUAAGCGUAUUUUCAAAAAUUAAUAAAUACAAAGUACUUUGUGGCCGUUUGUGUUGUGAUGCUGCUCUGCUCACGUUAAAUGCAUAUUGUUCGCGCUGCCCUCUCGAUGUGCCCUCUCUUUCCUCUCGUCUGUCUGCCAUUUUUUCCUUCAGCGCAAUGCAUGAUGGUGUAUAGUGCUCAGUGAGUAACUUUUUACGAUAUAAUAGUGAUGCUCACCAUAUAGUUAUAAUAAUUCUCACUAUACAUUCGGACAGCACAACAAAAUGGCGAACUCACUAUAUAGUUUACUAUACAGUGAUUUCGGACAAAGACUAUGUGAAUGACAUCAGCUGACAGGAAGUAAACAUGGACCCAAUCUGUUGCCUAGCAAUUCCAUUGCAAUUCCGUUGAAGCGUUUCAUACGAAGGGUAAAUACAGACAUAUUCAGGCAGACAGUAUGAGGUAUGAGGACAGUAUGAAAAUAAAGGGAUUUUUUAACAUUAUAGCAUGUAAACAUGUUCUAGUAGAAAAAAAAAAUAGGUUUAUAAUAUAUUAUAAUAAGUAUGAACUUAAUAUGGGACCUUUAAAUGACAACCAAAAUUACAUACUUUCUACUUACCUGUAGUGCUAUUUAGCAAUUUAGAUUGUUUUGAUGUGAGUUACCAGCUGUAGAGAUGUCUGCCUUCUCUAGAACAUAAUGGUACUAGAUGGCACUCGGCUUGUGGUGCUCAAAGCGUUAGUCAAACUAAUCCACAGACCUUGUUGUGAGCAGUUUCAGGCACGCAGGGUACCUUGCCCAGUCGGACGCCCAUCUGGAUGUCUCUGAACUGCAGACCCAGGUUCUCCCCCAGGAUGGUCACCCUGGUUCCCCCUUGGCGAGGCCCCGUCUCAGGGAACAACUGGACCGACAAGAGGAUGGAGGACGGGGGUCAGGAUGGAUGGAGGAAGGAGGAGAGAAGGAGACAGAAGAACAGAAGAAAAGAGACAUAAGAGCAGGGAGAUGUAAAGGUGGGCUGGCCCCUUGCCGGGCCCAUCGUCUGGUGCGCCGCGACAGAGGUCUGCUUGGAGAGGCCCGACCGUGAGUUUCACGUCACCCCUCGCCCGGACCUCGCUGUUGCCCGGAGUUGUUGAGUUCUCUCUGCGCAGUGCACCCUCUCUCCCUGCGGGGGAGGGAUUCCCGGCGCGACUGUCAACCGGGAAGGAGUGUCCUCAGUGCGAAGGGUUUGCGGCGAAUGUCGGCACGCCGUCUGGUUACCAUGCUUAUGCUGUGUGACUUUUUGACAUCAGCAUUCUUAACCAUAAAUAAAGCCUUUCUGAAUAAACUGUUUACCAGGGCACCAAGUUCUUCAUAGAUCUAGCCUCGUAAUUUUGCUCUCAAAGUGCUCCAGAUUGAUGCAUUUAACUUUAAUAUGUAGGGCUGUCCUGAAUACCAUUUUUGGGGCUUCAAAGCGUCGGUGAGAAAUAUUUAAAGGCAUUCGAAGCUGGUGCGGCGCAACAGGCUGACACGUUCUUCUAUCUGUCUCCGUCUCCCCCGUUUCAGUGUCCAGGACAGUGGCGCUGUCGCACUACUGUACACACACAAACCUCUACACACAACAAACAGCAAGAAAGACUAAUAAUAAUUAAUGUUGAAUAUGAAUAAUGAAUGAACAACGGAUGAAGCUUCAAAGCAUUCGGGUCAGCCCUUUUAAUAUGUUCAAAAUGUUCUUCACUGUGUCUCAAAAUCCUACGGGUAACACUGUAU